Molecule: microRNA precursor, 89 nt
Filed under: Anopheles christyi
Lineage: Eukaryota; Metazoa; Arthropoda; Insecta; Diptera; Culicidae
Description: microRNA mir-11
Rfam family: mir-11 microRNA precursor family
Source: RNAcentral
GCAUCCAGCAAGAACUAGGAACUGUGAUAUGUGUGGUAAUGGCCGCUUUUGAUGCUCUUCACAUCACAGUCUGAGUUCUUGCUCGAUGG